UAUUUUUCUAGGAAAUUGUUAUGUUGGCAUUCUACCUAGAUUUUGAUUAUUGUCUCUUCAACACUUCCAUAAUUAUUAUAUGAAACUUCAUAUAGCAAAAACAUACUCAUUAUAUCCAUCUACUAUGUAUAAUUCCAAUAUUAUAAGUCUUGUUUGUGAUUAUUACCAUAUAAUCAUAUAUACACAUGAAAGCAGUUUUAGAAAGUAGUAAUAUGCAUUUGUGAUUAGCCUAUUUGCUUCUACUGGAAGUCUGCAGGUGGAGGCGAGCUAUGGGCUUCCUCAUUGUUGGUGUUGUCGGCUUCCAGCUAUGUAAGGUGCUACGGAUUUUAAUCAUUCCUACUUCCUCCAUAGCGGCUGAUUGUCUACAGGUAUUUUUAUUUCUUGUUACCAUAUAUUAGCAAGUUAUAUUACUUAUAUGUGUAUUAAGUCCAAGCAAGAUGGCUUACAUGUACUAACUGAAAUAUGGGUUAAUGCAAUGGAUUUUUCACAUGUGCUGGCUAUAAUGUUGGAGCUAGAUUUCCUCAUGGUUCUGUUGACCUGAAAAAACCGUGGGAGAGGUGAACUGUUACCAGGAACAUAAAACUCAUGAAAGUGCAUGUCCCAAUGUAUUUAAAUAAUUACAAUAUGGCAUGCGUCUAAUAGUGCUUAUGUUACUGAUGUUAUCACAGUUUUGGCCCAGUUUUCUGUUGAUUAACUUGGCAAUUCUCUUCUUCUUGAUUAAUUGAUUGAGGCCUUUGGCCUCCGCUUUCGAAAAUAAAUAAAUAAAUAAAUAUACCACUGUUAUCUAAUAAGUCUUCCUUAUAUUAAUGGAUGCCAAGUAUUCCUACUCUAUAUCAGUAAAUACAAAUAGUAUGUCUUACUACUUACUUUCAACAUAACUAACAUAUAAUCUUCCGCGCUCCUUCAGAUUUCCCAUCCAAUGAGUUCAUCAAGUUCAAGACAAAUGUAUUAAGAUUCUUUUAUCACCCACAUUAAAGAAAUUGCAGCUUGUAGUAGUUGUACAACCACUAAUUUGGAGUUGAAUACUAUGCCUACCAUAUAAUUAUAUUUUGUGCAGAAAACUAUCACCACAUGACAUAUACCAACAUCAAAUAUAUUUUUGUAACAUAUCUAUUGUAGAUAUUGGCAUGGAUGCAAAAUCCUAAAUAAGUUACGCAAAAAAAUAAAGUUAGCAAUCUAAAGAAGUUCAGACACAUUACUAAGUCGAAUAUGGCUCCAUAAGGUUAUAAUUGAUAUAACUCAAUUGUUCCUACAGGUCUUAGAGUCUUGUUGUUCUCGAAAAGUGGUGAUAUCAUAUCUUAGAAGAAGUCUGAUGCCUUACCUGAUUUGCUUAGUUUCCAUGCGCCAUUCCAG
Molecule: long non-coding RNA, 1353 nt
Filed under: Triticum aestivum (bread wheat)
Lineage: Eukaryota; Viridiplantae; Streptophyta; Magnoliopsida; Poales; Poaceae
Description: long non-coding RNA (TAES_LNC020633)
Source: RNAcentral